RNAcentral lists this unclassified non-coding RNA (793 nucleotides) under Hevea brasiliensis (rubber tree). Lineage: Eukaryota; Viridiplantae; Streptophyta; Magnoliopsida; Malpighiales; Euphorbiaceae. The record is from RNAcentral.
AUUCAAACAAGAAAUUUUGGAAUAUAACCGGAGUUUCAUAUAGCUCUCGUUAUAAUUAAUAGUCAAAAUCUAUUCAUUAUACAAAUAAUGGUUACAUAGAAUAAUUUCCCAAGAGGAAACACUUGCAGAGUGAAUAAAAAAUAAAAAAUUCUUCUUUCCUAAGAACAUGCAUAAAACUUCCCGGAGAAAUGGAGAAAGGUCUUUACUACAGAUCAGGUAAACUAUGGCUAUAGUAGCAAAGUAUAUGCAAGGCGCUUCAUGUUCAAAUCAUUUACUGAAGCCACAAAACAGAAGCUAGUUUUCUGAAGCCAACAGAUACCUUUUAAAUGUCCCAGAUCCCACAUUAUAACUAUGCAAUAUAUAAUGAAGUGUUUGAGGUUAGAAUGAGAAGGCCAGAUCAAUGGCUCCGUCCAGUGAAUGGUACAACUGUGUGUGGGGUUGGGACUGGGAGAGCAUGGCAUUUUCAUCACUCAACAAGUGCAAGCAGCUGGUGAGCUGUUCCUUACGUGAAAAUGAUGAGGAAUGAUCGGGGUGGGGCUUAUUUAAACUCAAUUACGAGUGCCGAGCUUCUCCAUCUCAGCCUCUGAUAUAUAUGAUGACGCACCAUAUAUAUAACAUAGCAAAUGCAGAUGCAGGUGCAUGAUGCAUUGGCAACGUAGAGAUGAGAAAAAAGUUCCAGAUGGAAACAAUGUUAUAAGCGUAGUGCAGUACAGAAUCAAUGUUAUAAGGGUAGUGCAGUACAGAAUCAACUUCACUUCAAUGCUUCUGUAGAUCUAGAGAGAGAGAGAGAGAG